This 413-nucleotide ribosomal RNA is filed under the name Brevundimonas sp. IIIA19-3. RNAcentral describes it as "bacterial SSU rRNA". It matches the Rfam family "Bacterial small subunit ribosomal RNA", at positions 1 to 450 of the family's 1533-position model. The record is from RNAcentral. Lineage: Bacteria; Pseudomonadati; Pseudomonadota; Alphaproteobacteria; Caulobacterales; Caulobacteraceae.
UAGAGUUUGAUCAUGGCUCAGAGCGAACGCUGGCGGCAGGCCUAACACAUGCAAGUCGAACGGACCCUUCGGGGUUAGUGGCGGACGGGUGAGUAACACGUGGGAACGUGCCUUUAGGUUCGGAAUAGCUCCUGGAAACGGGUGGUAAUGCCGAAUGUGCCCUUCGGGGGAAAGAUUUAUCGCCUUUAGAGCGGCCCGCGUCUGAUUAGCUAGUUGGUGAGGUAAUGGCUCACCAAGGCGACGAUCAGUAGCUGGUCUGAGAGGAUGACCAGCCACAUUGGGACUGAGACACGGCCCAAACUCCUACGGGAGGCAGCAGUGGGGAAUCUUGCGCAAUGGGCGAAAGCCUGACGUUGCCAUGCUCCGUGAUCAAUAAAGGUGUUCGGACGUAAAAUCUUCACCGAGACGAUAAG